CAGCAGGCGCGAAAACUUUACAAUGCUGGCAACAGCGAUAAGGGGACCUUGAGUGCCAGGAUACAAUCCUGGCUGUCGUGAUGCCUAAAAAGCAUUAUAUAGCAAGGGCCGGGCAAGACCGGUGCCAGCCGCCGCGGUAACACCGGCGGCUCGAGUGGUAACCGCUAUUAUUGGGUCUAAAGGGUCUGUAGCCGGCUUGGUUAGUCUCUUGGGAAAUCCGGCAGCUUAACUGUCGGGCUUUCAGGAGAUACUGCCAGGCUCGAGACCGGGAGAGGUGAGAGGUACUUCAUGGGUAGGGGUGAAAUCUUGUAAUCCUUGAAGGACCACCAGUGGCGAAGGCGUCUCACCAGAACGGAUCUGACGGCAAGGGACGAAAGCUAGGGGCACGAACCGGAUUAGAUACCCGGGUAGUCCUAGCCGUAAACGAUACUCGCUAGGUGUCGGCCACGGUGCGACCGUGGUCGGUGCCGUAGGGAAGCCGUGAAGCGAGCCACCUGGGAAGUACGGCCGCAAGGCUGAAACUUAAAGGAAUUGGCGGGGGAGCAC
Molecule: ribosomal RNA, 546 nt
Filed under: uncultured archaeon
Lineage: Archaea
Description: bacterial SSU rRNA
Rfam family: Archaeal small subunit ribosomal RNA
Source: RNAcentral